RNAcentral lists this ribosomal RNA (393 nucleotides) under uncultured bacterium. Its description in RNAcentral is "bacterial SSU rRNA". It matches the Rfam family "Bacterial small subunit ribosomal RNA", at positions 28 to 412 of the family's 1533-position model. The record is from RNAcentral.
GACGAACGCUGGCGGCGUGCUUAACACAUGCAAGUGGAGCGACGAACCGGGCUUCGGCCCGGGGCAAAGCCGCGAACGGGUGAGUAACACGUGGAUAACCUGCCCUGAAGACCGGGACAACCCGGGGAAACCCGGGCUAAUACCGGAUGUCCUCGCCGUCCACAAGGACGGUGAGCAAAGGAAGCUUCGGCCUCCGCUUCAGGAGGGGUCCGCGGCCCAUUAGCUUGUUGGUGAGGUAACGGCUCACCAAGGCGACGAUGGGUAGCUGGUCUGAGAGGACGAUCAGCCACACUGGGACUGAGACACGGGCCCAGACUCCUACGGGAGGCAGCAGUGGGGAAUAUUGGGCAACGGGGCGAAAGCCUGACCCAGCAAUGCCGCGUGGGUGAAGAA